UGCGUGUGAGCGUGUGACCUUUCUCUGAUGGGCUGGGCUGACGCUGCUUCCCGUAGAUGUUUGAACACAUGCGGUAGCAAAGCAGAUUCUUUAUCUUGUGAGCCCUUGUCAGUAUUUCAGACACAAGAACGAGUUCUCAGUGACUCUAAGUGGCAGAAAGAAUGGACAAAUCCCUGGGCUGGCUCAUCCUUUGGUUACAACUAGAUUGGGUGAGCAGUAAACAGGAGGUGACGCAGAGUCCUGAAGCUCUGAAUGUCCGCGAGCGGGAUAGCGUGGUUGUCAACUGCAGUUACACGGAUGGCGCUCUUUAUUCCCUUCAGUGGUUUAGGCAGGACCCUGGGCAAGGGCUCACAUUCCUGCUGCUAAUUCAGUCAAAUCAGAGAGAACAAACAGGUGGAAGAAUUAAAGUCUCCUUGGAUACAGCGACAAGACAGAGUGUUCUAUACAUUGCAGCUUCUCAGCCCAGCGACUCGGCCACCUACCUCUGUGCAGUGAGGCACAGUGCCCAACAGGCUUCUGUCACCAAUACCUAAACUCUGCAGCUGGGG
Non-coding RNA from Ailuropoda melanoleuca (giant panda), 548 nucleotides. The record is from the annotation of a RefSeq genome assembly. Lineage: Eukaryota; Metazoa; Chordata; Mammalia; Carnivora; Ursidae.